CAACCAGACUCCUACGGGAGGCAGCAGUGGGGAAUAUUGCACAAUGGGGGAAACCCUGAUGCAGCAACGCCGCGUGAGUGAAGAAGUCUUUCGGUAUGUAAAGCUCUAUCAGCAGGGAAGAAAAUGACGGUACCUGAGUAAGAAGCCCCGGCUAACUACGUGCCAGCAGCCGCGGUAAUACGUAGGGGGCAAGCGUUAUCCGGAUUUACUGGGUGUAAAGGGAGCGUAGACGGCUGUGCAAGUCUGAAGUGAAAGGCAAGGGCUCAACCUUUGGACUGCUUUGGAAACUGUAUGGCUGGAGUGCAGGAGAGGUAAGUGGAAUUCCUAGUGUAGCGGUGAAAUGCGUAGAUAUUAGGAGGAACACCAGUGGCGAAGGCGGCUUACUGGACUGUAACUGACGUUGAGGCUCGAAAGCGUGGGGAGCAAACAGGAUUAGAUACCCGCGUAC
Molecule: ribosomal RNA, 448 nt
Filed under: uncultured bacterium
Lineage: Bacteria
Description: bacterial SSU rRNA
Rfam family: Bacterial small subunit ribosomal RNA
Source: RNAcentral